AUGUCCUUGUAUUGCAGUUCCCAUGACAUCAACAUUUGUUGGAAAUAGCAUUUAAAAACAGAGUUUCAUUAAUUUAUAGUUUUUAACAUAGUAAUUUUGAUUAAAAAAAAUAUGAAUUGAAUUUAUCCUGAGUUUCCAUGGUAAAAUAACCAUUGCUUAUAUGUCUCAUCAUAGCUAAACACUGCCCUGAAGUUUAGAUAGUUUAUGUAUAGAUAGCUUUUGAUUGACACAAUGUAAUCAUGAGUUAUUUCCCUUUAAUUGGUAUAUUGGAAACAAUGGCACAAAUGCCUUGUUUGUAUUAAAUAUUUCAAUUUGGUUAGUCAAAAAGGAAAAGCUAUUAGGUACACCUUUACAUGAUGUCCAAGGGAAAUAACUCAAACAUGAGUUAUUUCCCUUUAAUUGUCAUGUUGGAAACAUUGGCAUAAAUGCCUUGUUUGUAUUAAAUAUUUCAAUUUGGUUAGUCAAAAAGGAAAAGCUAUUAGGUACACCUUUACAUGAUGUCCAAGGGAAAUACCUCAAACAUGAGUUAUUUCCCUUUAAUUGUCAUGUUGGAACAUUGGCACAAAUGCCUUGUUAGUGUUAAAUAUUUCAAUUUGGUUAGUCAAAUAGGAAAGGCAAUCAGCUGGUACAUCUUUGCAUAACAGUUAAGCGAAAUAACUCUUAACUCAAACUAUGUCAUAUUGAAACCUAUUUAUACCAUCACACCUCAUUUAACUUCACAUUUUAACCUUUUUUUUUAUCAUAAAUCUCAAAAACAUUUGAUCACAUUUUGUAUAUAUAUGUAAUAAGUAUGUCCAUGCAGGGUGUUUUAGUAUUUCAAAUGUACAGGGAAUGCAAGUUUGUAGUGUUUUUUUUUUAACUCAUUCACAACCAUGUCUUGGUGAUCAUUGUACAUUUAACAUCAAAUUUUACUUCAUCAGUUGUUCAUAUUUUUUCCUGUUUUUUACCUUGAUUUUAUUUGUCCAUGAAUGUAUAAUAAUGAAUAUCAAUACUUUUCAAAAAGACUUUAUGACAAAAAAAUGUUUUAGUGCCAUUUUUAAAUAUGAUUGUUUUUAAACUGUUGAUUAUUUGACCUUUAUCGUAACAGUGAUUUUAACAUUGUAUAUCAUUUCAUGAUUUCAGACAAGAUUUACUUCCACGUCAUUUGGUCUCUGGUGGGAAUUUGACCUAUUGGCACCCAUACAAUGUCUCUUUAUUUUUAUACCAGGUCAAUCUCAUAUAUUUCAACUAAAGUCCUAUAUAUUUUUAUUUUUAAUUUAAUCCAAGUACAUACAUUUUUACUUUAUUUUUAAUGGUUUUUUUUUAAUUGUUUGGUUGCUGUUUAAUGGAUGUUUAUCCCAUACAUUCUUUAUUUUACAUGCAUUGUGUUUUAUUGAUUUUAUUCAUGAAAUUUGAAUUAAAGGGUUGCUGUUCAUUAAAAUCACUCACCAAUACAAAAUUAAUCAUUAUUUCAUAUUAUGAUAGUUGUUGAUUUGUUGUUUGUUUUGUAAGAAUUGUGUUUGUGUGUAAAACUGUCAGUUUUAAUCAUUUAGAAGUAUAUUAUAUUUAUAUCUACUGAUUUAGACAUUAGAGUACUGUAAAUUCAGAUAUUUUUGUGUGCAUUUAUAAC
Molecule: long non-coding RNA, 1609 nt
Filed under: Mytilus galloprovincialis (Mediterranean mussel)
Lineage: Eukaryota; Metazoa; Mollusca; Bivalvia; Mytilida; Mytilidae
Source: RNAcentral